CACCUGCAUUGGUGAAUCAUUAAUUUGCAAAAAAAAAAUCAAAAAUAUAUAAUCAAAUACACUAACUUAGUUUACAGGUCUUGUUUGUUUUUAACCUCUUCGGACAAGAAAUUAUUUUAUUAACUAUACUUAUUUAGAAAUAAAUGUUUUUUAAUUAAUGUUAAUGAUAAUUAAUUAAGGAGGCUAAUGAUGCAUUUGUAAUAUUAAAUCAAAAAAGAAUUACAAAUAUAUUCAUUAGAUCAAACUAAUGAAACUUUUUUCUUUUAGAAUGUGACUUAGGUAGUGAAAUAUCAUGUAUGUGAUGAUGGGUGAGAGUGAGCACGUGUGUGCACACGUGUGAGAAGUAAAAACAAAAAAUAGAAAAAAACUAUAUUUUAUCAAUGAUAUUACAACUACAAUUGUUACCAUGCUAAUCAACUAUAUAUCUUUUUAUUAAGUUAUUACAAGGUAACUUUUAACUUUAACUAUAAAGUAAAAAAUCUGUAUAAUUUUUAAAGAGAAAAAAUAACUUUAACUUUAACCGGAAAGUGAAUUUUUUUUAAUUUAUAUUGAGAAAAAAGAUAAAAUAUGAAGUUUUGAAAGUGGAGUAUUUAAAGGUGGCAAUGGCAGUGUAUAAGUUAUUGAGGCCAAGAAUAAAAGUGAGGUAAUAUUUUGUGAGUUAUAUACAUAUAAACUUGGAUCUUUGUUGAGAUAUAAAUAAGAUGCUUGUUUUCCUUUGCUAUAUGGAGAAAAAUAAUGUGUUUUCUUUGCAGAAGAACUUGUCCAAGAUCAAUAAUAUUUCAGUUUUCUCAAUGAUUCAUGCAUGCCUCAGGUAGAAACUAUGGUUCACUUCAAACAUCUCUUCUAUUCUCUACAUAUAAUAAAGAUCUAAAUUUUUUGUUAUUCAAUUAUGGAUUUUGUAGAGUAUUUUUCAACUAUUUGUUUUAACUUUAUUUUUGUUAAUGUAUAAAAUGAUUUAACUUCAUUUUGUUCUUUUUUGUAUUUUUUUUACUCAAACAUUUUUUGGUAUAUGUGCGUCUCUGUUUUUUAAAAGAAGUAAUAUAAGCACGUGUGACAUACAUAACUUAUUUUCUUUGUCCUAAAAAAUAUAAUUAAAAAAUGGUCAUAAAAGCUAUGUUUUUUUUUGUUAAUAUGUUAAAUUUUAUAUUUUAAAAGCUUGUAUUGUUAAUAUUAUCGUUGAAUUAAGAUUAAAAAAAUUUAUUUUAAUUUUGAUAAUUUAUAAUUCUAAAAAGCUAAUAACAAAAAAAAUUGGACUGUGAAAUCUCAAUUCGAAGAUUACAAAUACGGUGAAUUAUCAAGAUCCUAAAAUUUAUGUCAUGAAUCAUAACUAGAAGUUAUAUAAAGAAACCUAAAAUUGAUAUUUGAUGAGAUCAAUGAUAAAGAUCCAACGGUUGAGAUUCGUAUAUAGACAUAUCUACAUGAAACACCUUAGAUUAAAUUUGUGUAGAAACGAUGGUUCAGCUCCUAAGGUACAACAUAUUCUGUUCUCAUUUACAAGAAACCUAUAGAUAUAUAUUUUAGAAAAUUGAAAUUAUUUUAUAUUUAUGUAUAAAGUAGAUAUCAAACUAGCAACAUUUUCUUCAUUUAUUUAAUUAUUAUUUAAGUAAUGAAGUUUUUUUUAAAUGUUUAAUUUUUUUAUAUUUAAUUUUUUUAUAUUUUGUAAUAUUGUUUAAUUUUCACUUUAUUUUAUUAUAUCCUCAAAGUAUUAUUAGGAAACACAACAAAUAACUUUAAGAAGAGUAAAAUAACAUCAAGAGAACUUGUAUUUUAUCAAGUUCAUUCGAGUGUUAUACCUUUUAUGUUCUCAAAUCUAUUUUCUUUGUGAUAUAUUAAUUGUAUAUCCAUAAAUAUGUACUUCUCUUUUAGUUUUUUUAGGUUAGAGAAAUAGAGACUCGCAAAAUAAUAGAUUUUAUUUUAAAAUAAGAAGUCAACACUGUUUUAUACCUUAUUUUUUAUAAAAAGAAAUCAUUUAAUAAUCUUGUUACUAGUGUAGAGAUUUUUCAAUUUAAAAAGAUAAUUUAUCUCAAUAAAUUGUAUAAUCUCUACAAUUAUUUAAAUAAUAAAAUUAUUAUAUGAGAUCCAAACACUAUAAAUUGUAAUUUUGUUUUGAAUUUAUUUCGUUCUAAUAUAAAUUUUUUCUUUUCAGUACUAGUAAUGGAAAGAGAAAAGAAUUCAAAUACAAAAAUAAAGUGAUUUUUAGAUGUUCCUAUAAACCGUUUUCUUCAUAUCUCUUUAAAUAUAUGUAUAUAGAAAUUUUAAUUAUAUAUUUUAACCACUCUUGUUUUCUUGCAUCAUAGGCUACAUAUAAAGAGAAGAUCCUUUUGAAGUGUAUUUGCAUAGUAGAUAUCUUCUAGAGUCAUGUAUCAUGCAAGAAUCGUAAGUUUUAAUUUAGGGCAAUUAUAUUUGUAACAAGAGUGAAAAUAUGAAAUGAUUUCUUAAUUAAGGUCCUUAAUGACAUAUAUAUUCUUGUUGUCCUUUUUUUUAAACUUGUAGUAACCCCUAAUUUUUUUAAUAUUGUCGUAGUAACCUUUUGUAAUAAACAGUGUAACCCUUAUGUAUCUUUUUAUCAUCACCAUCUUUGACCUCCGUCUAUUUUUUCUAUAAAAUUUUCCUUCCUUAAUAUUUAAUCAGAAAUUUUAUUCUAAACAAAAACUUUAUAAAUAAUUACAUAUUAUUGUAACUUUUAUAUUCUCAAUUUAAAUAAUUCAUAUUCAUGUAACUUUUUUAUUUUCCAUUGUAUUUUGAGACAUGGUCUUAUUUAUAGGAUGGGGUUGUUUAAUUUUCUCUAUAACCUAAUUUGAAUUUUUUUCUUUCUUCCGUUCAAACGGUUAAGAAUCCCUUAGGUUCCUUUCUUUUUUAUUUGAAAUAUAUUUUAACUUUCUGUUUAAACUUAUUAAAAAAUAUGUUUAACAAAAUAUAUGAUUUUGUACAAAUGAUUUUCUUAUUUUAAUUGACCUAAAAUCCUCACAUCAAAUUACAUCUUAGGAUAUGGAAGUUUAUGAAACUUCUUCACAGCCAAUUCUACCACAUUUGUGAUGAAGGGAGUAUAUUCUUGGAAGUGAAAAAUAUUACAAUUCAAUUUGAAUGAAAUUAAGAGAAUUUUAAUUAUUUCUACAAAAAAAAUUAGAUGAUUCAAUUUCUCAAAAUGAAAUGUAUGAAAACUACCAACAAAAAUCAUAUUAUAUUAUAAAUAUAUAUAACUAGGUAGUUAGAGGGAAAGAGAAAGCAUGCAAUAGAAGGGAGAGAUAAAAAGGAAUUAAAAAUGUUGAUAUAAGAGAUUCUAAAAGGUUUUAAAUAAAUUUUGUAGAAGGAGUUAGAAUUUCUAAACUUAAAAAAAAAACUACAAACCCCAAAUUAUUGCAUCUCUUCUCAUGCAAAGAAUUCUCUCCCACUUUAUAAACUCUAUUCCAAGUGUAUACUACAAGCUCAUAUAUACCAAAAGUUAACAAGAAAGCUAGGAACUUUCUUUAUCUUUUGAACUAUAAAAAACAAAGAUGGUGACUUAAACUUUUCCACAUAAAAAUAAUUAAAUCGUAAUAAAAUAAAAUAUUGAUUUGUAGAGUUCAUGCAAAACAAAACAUCUCCAUUUUUUUAAUAAAUAAAUAAUAGAAUUUAAUAUAUAUUAAAAUAUUUGAUAUGGAUUGACCUGUUUCCCCACUUUGCAUGUAGUUCUAUGAUCAAGAGUUGUUCAUCGGGUGUAAUAUUCCCUCGUCUAACAUCGGGUCGAAGAUAAUUUAGCCAACGAAGUCUGCAACUCUUUCCGGUACGUUUAAGACCUAUAAUGUAUAAAAGCAUCUUAUUAUAACUUAUGAAAAUAUUAUGGAUUACUAGUAAGCUUACCAAGCUAGGUCAUAUUUUUUAGGUAUCAUCAUCCAAAGCCCUUAGUUAAACAUGCUACUAGUGUUAUUUCAUUUGAUUAAAGAAAAGUAGAAGAUAGAUGUAUAUGUGUGAGAUUAAUUAUUAUUAUUAUUACCAGCAGAUUUUGCCAAGGAGUUCCAAACACCUUCACCAUGAUUUGCAAUAUAGUUGAUCAAGAUCAAGUCUUCUUCCAUUGUCCAUGGUCCUUUUCGAACAUCAG
Molecule: long non-coding RNA, 4078 nt
Filed under: Lathyrus oleraceus (garden pea)
Lineage: Eukaryota; Viridiplantae; Streptophyta; Magnoliopsida; Fabales; Fabaceae
Description: Pisum sativum (pea) long non-coding RNA (PSAT_LNC012232)
Source: RNAcentral